UUAGAGCCCUUUGUAUGUGCGGGCGGCCAUGGCCGGUAACGGGAGCCCAGUGCCGAGCCUGGAAGAUACGCUCGCCUCCUGCCCCGUGUGCAUGGAAUAUUUCAUAGAUGCCAGCUGCGGGCACAACAUCUGCCCGCGGGCCUGCAACCCAGACCCCCUGGAGGAGCCGGAGUGGAGCCCUUGCUGUCCUAGAUGCCAGAAGCCUGUCCUGCAUGUGUCAUGUGCCACAUACUGGGAUAUGUCAAAAGAGUGGCUGGCCUGUCUGAUAAAAGAGAGAGAAGAAACCAAAGCUGAUGAGGAGAUGCAAAGUGAGAAGCUGCUGAAACAGACGGAAGCUGAGAAACAGAGGAUCCUCUGCGAAUGGAAGGAUCUACGUGGGUUUCUGGAGAAGCAGGAGCAGGUACUGCUGUCCCAGCUAGAAAAGCUGGACAGAGCUAUUGUCAAGAGAAGGGACAAGAGCAUCUCUGAGCUGUCCCAGGAGAUUUCUCUGCUAAGUGAACUGCUCAAUCAGAGGGGAGGAGAGAACGGGCAGGAGCCACUGAGCCAGUCCAUACAGGGUGUGGGCAGCUCUGAGAACAGCAGGGAGAACAGAGUGCUGCAGAAGCCAGAGUCUGGGUUUGUGGAGCUGGAGAAGAGACUUGGGGAUUUCUCUCAGAGAAGUACCACCCUGCUGGAGCUGCUGCAGGGAUUCAAAGAGACUCUGCGACUGGAGCUGGACAGCAACAUAGGUUUUCUAAUUCCAAAACCUGACAUGAUUGCUCAGGUGGAAUGGGGCAAAGAACCCUGGGUGCCAGAUCUCCAGUGCUCCAAAGAAAGAGAGAUCCUGAGAAACACCUGCACAGCAGGCAAUGGGAUGGUGAGUGGGAACGAGGAGGAGAAUCCACAGCAGGAAGGUCCCAAGCGAGUGGAACCUCAUGGGACAGUAUCAGGAAUAUCCAAAGCAAACAUUUCCCAGAGUCCUGAUCUCGAGGAAGCCCAUGAGAGUCAAUGCAGGUCAGAAAGGCAGCAGGAAAACCACCAAGAGAAGUUGCAAGGUAAAUCAACUCACCAAGUGGAAGGCUUGGAGGAUCUCAAUGAAACAGUGAUCCAGCUGAAAAUUAGCACUAAAAAGAAACAGCAUGAAUGUGUUGAGUGCGGGAAAAAGUUCAAUCACAAAUCAAACCUUACUAGACAUCUGAAACUGCACACAGGAGAGAAACCAUUUAUGUGCAGUGACUGUGGGAAAACCUUCACUCGGAGGUCACACCUUAUUUCACACCAGACAAUGCACUUGGGUCAGAAACCUUAUCCCUGCUGUGAGUGUGGGGACAGAUUCACACGGUGCUCAAACCUUAUUUCACAUCAGAGAAUCCACUUAGGCGAGAGACCCUAUAAAUGCCCCGACUGUGGAAAAAGCUUCAGUUCAAAAUCAAACCACACUGUUCAUCAGAGAAUCCACACAGGAGUAAAACCUUAUAAGUGUGCUUAUUGUGGGGAAAGUUUCAUUCAGAGCUCACACCUGGUUGUUCAUCAGAGAACACACACGGGAGAGAGACCCUAUACAUGUCCCGAUUGUGGGAAAAGCUACAAGGCGAAGGUUGCUCUAAUUUCCCAUCAAAAAGUCCAUGGAAGAUGGGAGCUCUCACUGUGGGGCAAUGGAUCUGUGCCCACCUGCAACAAACUAUAAUUUGCUUCAUUUGAGGGUGGUUCUGGAUGGGACAGUAGGUGGCUAGAUGGUUUAGGUUCCAGUGGAUGGUGGUGGAGGCCAGAAUAGGAGGGAGCACUAGGUACUACUGGGGAGAUGGGUCAUAUCAGGUUCUGGGAGGGGAGCAGGUGAUGGAAUCAAUGAAGAGUAAUUUCUGUGGGUUCCACACACACUUUCCAAUUUAGAGAAGAGGUAAACUAAAGCUCCCUUGCAGUUUCUCUUGAAGACAUAUCGGCAGCUCCUAAGGCCUCUUGGGCAGGGGCAGAGGCACAUUUUUCAGGAAAGCAGCAAGGGACCCGGUGGGUCUGUAGUUACCAGGCAGUAAGAGAUGCUGAUCAGAAGUUGUAGAAUUUUAGCAUCAUGUUCAGUGUAUUGUACAUCUGUGCAGACACAAACAAUCACUGGAGAUUGGGGGGAUUUUAGGUGGAAAUUCUCUGGAGAGGUGGGGGUCUUUGGGGGAUUGCACAGAUCCGGUGAGGGCAGUAUGAUGUAAUAGUGAGAGCAGGGGGAAUUGCGACUCAGGACUCCUGGGUUCAGAUGCCAGCUCUGAGAAGGGCGUGAGGUCUAGAUUAGAGUGGGGGCAUGGAAGUGGGAGGCUGGAAUGCUAGGUUCCAUAACCAGCUCAGUUCCUUCCCUCCUCUCUGUGCAUCUCUUCCUCCCAUUCCCACCAUGGGGAUAAUAGUAGACUCCCACCUCCCAGGGAACCAUGCAACCUCACUAAUUACUGUGUGUUAAGAAGAAUGUAGGUACCAGAACAGGGAAAGGUCCUUAUCUGGCUGAGGAAAGAGAGGACCAACCAUCAGUUUGAUGGCAUUUCUCUGUUUAUCUGGCUGUAACACGAUAACUUUUGAAAACCGCGUCCAAUUGGGCCGAACCCUAACAAGUCUCCAAUUGUCUGUAGAUCAAAGAACUGAUUGAUCAUGGCAAAUCCCAAAGUAAUGUGGCCUUCUUGGAAAUUGAGAGCCACUCUGGCUAGAUGCUUAAGGUGGUCUAGCUGUAUAUUCAGUUUAUAUCUAUCUCUGGCCAUCUUAUUUCUGCUACCAAAGUUUGAACCAGAAUAACACCCUUCUUCCAGUCUUGGGGAAUGGUAUUAGUGCACUGGAGGGUCUGGAAAAGCCUAUGCAGCCAAAGGACAACAAUACUCUCAUCUGCCUUCUGCAACUCAGGAGUGAUGUUACAAUCUCAUUGAUGGCAACCAUUGAUACCUUCCAGCUAGCAACACCCCGCAUCUCAGCCCCGUAGUCCCAGCAGAGAUUAAAAUGUUGAGGGGAAAAUGGAAGCCGCUGGAGCCCUU
Molecule: RNA transcript, 2978 nt
Organism: Gopherus flavomarginatus (Mexican gopher tortoise)
Lineage: Eukaryota; Metazoa; Chordata; Testudines; Testudinidae
Gene name: zinc finger protein 566-like
Exons: 9
Source: RefSeq, a predicted model, not a curated record